CGAGAAGAGAGGCCUGGCGGUGACAGAGAGGAUGAAGCCCACCCUCUGUGGCACUGCGAGCUUGCAAGUUCAAAAAAAAAAAAAAAAAAUCCAAGGUCAACAUUGGUAAUUAGAAAAUGUAUGCAAAACGCUUUAUUAAAAUCAUACCUACCUAGGGGUCCUGGGAGAGCCUGAAAUGAUACGUGUGCUCAUGUUAGAAUUAUAAAGCUCAGUUGUUGAUCUUAUUUUGGGAAUGUCUAUCCCUCUAAUUACUUUACAGUCCAAAUGAUUAAAAAAAAAAAAAAGAAAGAAAGAAAAAAGAGAGAAGGGAGCAGCAGACGAGCCCAAAUUGCUGUGUUUAAAAGAGCAGGGCUGUCUGUUUGCGUGGGGCUGUCUCCCUGUAAUGAGAGCCACGGAAAUGGAAGCUAUUUGGACGAACUAGCUCAGCGCUGCGGAGCCGCGCGGGCCUCCAAAUGCAAGGGAUUUGGGCAAUCCAGUAAAGAAAACGCCAGCAUUGGUGAGUAGAAAUGGCAUGUAAGCUCUGGAUUCAAAACAAGGCAUCAGGGGAUAAUUGUGACAGAGGCCAAUGCUUUAGGAAAUGAUUUUUCUUGUGCCAUAAAUUGUAGUUGAAGGAUAAUUUUGUUUUUGUUUUGUUUCUCCCCAGAGUGGCCUCAUGAAUAUGAAGAUAUCUGGAAAAUCUUCACUACACAGCAUGAUUUCAGGAAUGAUGAAACAAUAAAUGAGAAUCUGGUAUUAAUAAUCUGUGGGUUUUAAAUUGUAUGCCAUCUGAAGAUGUUAGGACCAGUAAUUUCAUGUAUCCUACAAAGUGGAACAUGCCGUAGGGCACAGAGAUUCGUGAUUCAUGAGGAGGUUGGAUGUCUGACGAUAAACGUCCACGCACACAAUUUGAGCCUUUGGUGCUUACUGGCUGUACUAUGGUAAUGCCUCAUUAAUUCAAACCUCUCAAAGCCAGAUUUUGGAAUGAAUCAGGUUGAAAAGAUUGAGAGCUGAUGCCUGCCUUUGCGUAAUUGACAGCCUUUGCUCAGCAAAUUAAGUCGCUUAUAGUUGAUGACCAAAGAAAAUGCAGAGUAUCUGAGAAGCACAAAAUAGGAAGGGUGAACCAUCAGAACAGACUUUCUACAGCCCUCAGAGCAAGGUGUUAUUAUUCCACAGUACGUUCUAGAAAGGAUGUCUGAGCUGCCUUUCUUGUCGAAUAUCAUCUUCUUUCAGAGCACCCCACCCAUUUAUCUUUUAUAAAGGUCAGAACUGGAAUAAAACUGUGUGAAGAGUUUUUUUUUUGUUGUUUUUUUUUUAAGACAGAGGCUCGCUCUGCCACCCAGGCUGGAGUGCAGUGGCUUACUGCAACCUCCACUUCCUGGGUUCAAGCAAUUCUCAUGGCCCAGCCUCCCAGGAAGCUGGGAUUACAGGCAUGCACCACCAUGCCUAAUUUUUGUAUUUUU
This 1439-nucleotide long non-coding RNA is filed under the name Callithrix jacchus (white-tufted-ear marmoset). RNAcentral's name for it is "lncRNA (ENSCJAG00000074032.1)". The record is from RNAcentral. Lineage: Eukaryota; Metazoa; Chordata; Mammalia; Primates; Cebidae.